CGGGGCGCAGCAGGCGCGAAAACUGCGCAAUGCGCGUAAAGCUGUGACGCGGGGACUUCGAGUGCCGUCGUCACCAUGUGAUGGACGCGCUGUUCCCCUGCCUAAGAAGCAGGGGGAGUAAGGGCUGGGUAAGACCGGUGGCAGCCGCCGCGGUAAUACCGGCAGCCCAAGUGGUGGCCACUAUUAUUGGGUCUAAUACGUCCGUAGCCGGCCUGGUUAAUCCUUCGGUAAAUCUGAUACGGCUUAACCGUUCGGCCUCGUGGGAGACUGCCAGGCUUGGGACCGGGAGAGGCUGGGGGUACUCCAGGGGUAGGGGUGAAAUCCUGUAAUCCUUGGGGGACCACCAGUGGCGAAGGCGCCCGGCUUGAACGGGUCCGACGGUAAGGGACGAAAGCCAGGGGAGCAAACCGGAUUAGAUACCCGGGUAGUCCUGGCCGUAAACGCUGCGGGCUUGGUGUUGGGGAUCCUACGUGGGUGCCCAGUGCCGGAGCGAAGGUGUUAAGCCCGCUACCUGGGGAGUACGGCCGUCAGGCUGAAACUUAAACGGAAUUGGCGGGGGAGCACAGCAACGGGAGGAGCGUGCGGUUUAAUUGGAUUCGACGCCGGAAUACUCACCGGGGGCGACCGCCGUAUGAGGAUCAGCCUGACGAGUUUAUCUCGAUAGGUGGACGAGGUGGUGCAUGGCCGCCGUCAGUUCUGUACCGUAAGGCGUUCUCUUAAGUGAGAUAACGAACGAGACCCUUGCCCUUAGUUGCCACCCAUCCUUCCGGGGAUGGAGCACACUAGGGGGACCGCCGCUGCUAAAGCGGAGGAAGGAGAGAGCAACGGUAGGUCAGUAUGCCCCGAAUCCCCCGGGCUACACGCGCGCUACAAAGGGCAGGACAAUGGGAUCCAACCCCGAAAGGGGAAGGUAAUCUCGAAACCUGUCCGUAGUUCGGAUUGAGGGCUGUAACUCGCCCUCAUGAAGCUGGAUUCCGUAGUAAUCGUCGCUUCAACAUAGUCGCGGUGAAUACGUCCCCUGUCUCCUGCACACACCGUCCCGUCAAGCCAUCCGAGUCGGGUCUUGAGUCGAGGGUCCUCUUUUAUUGGGUGGUUCGAACUUA
This 1103-nucleotide ribosomal RNA is filed under the name uncultured archaeon. RNAcentral's name for it is "bacterial SSU rRNA". It matches the Rfam family "Archaeal small subunit ribosomal RNA", at positions 326 to 1411 of the family's 1478-position model. The record is from RNAcentral.